RNAcentral lists this ribosomal RNA (433 nucleotides) under uncultured bacterium. RNAcentral's name for it is "partial 16S ribosomal RNA". It matches the Rfam family "Bacterial small subunit ribosomal RNA", at positions 29 to 507 of the family's 1533-position model. The record is from RNAcentral.
AACGAACGCUGGCGGCAUGCCUAACACAUGCAAGUCGAACGAAGCCUUCGGGCUUAGUGGCGCACGGGUGCGUAACGCGUGGGAAUCUGCCCCUUGCUUCGGAAUAACAGUUAGAAAUGACUGCUAAUACCGGAUGAAGUCUUCGGACCAAAGAUUUAUCGGCAAGGGAUGAGCCCGCGUAGGAUUAGGUAGUUGGUGGGGUAAAGGCCUACCAAGCCGACGAUCCUUAGCUGGUCUGAGAGGAUGAUCAGCCACACUGGGACUGAGACACGGCCCAGACUCCUACGGGAAGCAGCAGUGGGGAAUAUUGGACAAUGGACGCAAGUCUGAUCCAGCAAUGCCGCGUGAGUGAUGAAGGCCUUAGGGUUGUAAAGCUCUUUUAACAGGGAUGAUAAUGACAGUACCUGGAGAAUAAGCUCCGGCUAACUCCGUG